GUAAUGCUUUGGAAUCUUCCCAGUAGUGGGGAAUAACCAGUCGAAAGAUUGGUAAUACCGCAUACGUCUCGUAAAGGGAAAGCGGGGGCUCGUAAGACCUCGGCUAUUGGAUGAGCCAAAGUCGGAUUAGCUAGGUUGGUGGGGUAAAUGGGCUACCAAGGGGAAAAUCCGGUAGCUGGUCUGAGAGGACGACCAACCAAACCGGAACUGAGACACGGGUCCGGACUCCUACGGGAGGCAGCAGUGGGGAAUCAUUGGACAAUGGGGGAAACCCUGAUCCAGCGACGCCGCGUGUGUGAAGAAGGCCUGCGGGUUGUAAAGCACUUUUAGUGGGGACAAAAAGCUACGGAUUAAUACUCUGUGGUCUUGAUUUAACCCAAAGAAAAAGCACCGGCUAACUCUGUGCCAGCAGCCGCGGUAAUACAGAGGGUGCGAGCGUUAAUCGGAAUUCACUGGGCGUCACAGCGCGCGUAACGGUUCUGUAAGUCCAGAUGUGACAUCCCUGGGCCUCAACCUCGGGAAC
Molecule: ribosomal RNA, 523 nt
Filed under: uncultured bacterium
Lineage: Bacteria
Description: bacterial SSU rRNA
Rfam family: Bacterial small subunit ribosomal RNA
Source: RNAcentral